RNAcentral lists this ribosomal RNA (695 nucleotides) under uncultured Bacteroidota bacterium. Its description in RNAcentral is "bacterial SSU rRNA". It matches the Rfam family "Bacterial small subunit ribosomal RNA", at positions 62 to 755 of the family's 1533-position model. The record is from RNAcentral. Lineage: Bacteria; Pseudomonadati; Bacteroidota.
UCGAGGGGUAUUCAGUUUUUCGGACUGGAGAGACCGGCGCACGGGUGCGUAACGCGUAUGCAAUCUACCUUUUACAGGGGAAUAGCCCAGAGAAAUUUGGAUUAAUGCCCCAUAGUAUAUAAACUUCGCAUGUUGUUUAUAUUAAAGUUCCAACGGUAAAAGAUGAGCAUGCGUCCCAUUAGUUAGUUGGUAAGGUAACGGCUUACCAAGACGAUGAUGGGUAGGGGUCCUGAGAGGGAGAUCCCCCACACUGGUACUGAGACACGGACCAGACUCCUACGGGAGGCAGCAGUGAGGAAUAUUGGACAAUGGGCGCAAGCCUGAUCCAGCCAUGCCGCGUGCAGGAAGACGCAUCUAUGGUGUGUAAACUGCUUUUGUACAGGAAGAAACACUCCCUCGUGAGGGAGCUUGACGGUACUGUAAGAAUAAGGAUCGGCUAACUCCGUGCCAGCAGCCGCGGUAAUACGGAGGAUCCAAGCGUUAUCCGGAAUCAUUGGGUUUAAAGGGUCCGUAGGCGGUCUAAUAAGUCAGUGGUGAAAGCCCAUCGCUCAACGAUGGAACGGCCAUUGAUACUGUUAGACUUGAAUUACUGGGAAGUAACUAGAAUAUGUAGUGUAGCGGUGAAAUGCUUAGAUAUUACAUGGAAUACCAAUUGCGAAGGCAGGUUACUACCAGUGGAUUGACGCUGAUGGACG